RNAcentral lists this ribosomal RNA (460 nucleotides) under uncultured bacterium. RNAcentral's name for it is "partial 16S ribosomal RNA". It matches the Rfam family "Bacterial small subunit ribosomal RNA", at positions 338 to 795 of the family's 1533-position model. The record is from RNAcentral.
CCUACGGGAGGCAGCAGUGAGGAAUAUUGGUCAAUGGGCGUGAGCCUGAACCAGCCAAGUAGCGUGAAGGAUGACUGCCCUACGGGUCGUAAACUUCUUUUAUAAAGGAAUAAAGUGAGGCACGUGUGCCUUUUUGUAUGUACUUUAUGAAUAAGGAUCGACUAACUCCGUGCCAGCAGCCGCGGUAAUACGGAGGAUCCGAGCGUUAUCCGGAUUUAUUGGGUUUAAAGGGAGCGUAGAUGGGUUGUUAAGUCAGUUGUGAAAGUUUGCGGCUCAACCGUAAAAUUGCAAUUGAUACUGGCAGUCUUGAGUACAGUUGAGGUAGGCGGAAUUCGUGGUGUAGCGGUGAAAUGCUUAGAUAUCACGAAGAACUCCGAUUGCGAAGGCAGCUUACUAAGCUGCCACUGACAUUGAUGCUCGAAAGUGUGGGUAUCAAACAGGAUUAGAUACCCUAGUAGUC